Small nucleolar RNA from Toxorhynchites rutilus septentrionalis, 209 nucleotides. RefSeq annotates it as small nucleolar RNA U3. The record is from RefSeq and is a predicted model, not a curated record. NCBI's taxonomy places the organism in Eukaryota, Metazoa, Arthropoda, Insecta, Diptera, Culicidae. The transcript has a single exon.
AAGACUGUGCUUCACAGGAUCAUUUCUGUAGGCAAGUUUUCACCACGAGUUUUCUCCGAAAGGAAAAGAUUUCCCACCCACGAUGAUGAGACGUAGCGAUCAGUCUGGAGCGUGAAACUUGAUUCGGAGCUGCUCUAUCGACUCUCGGUAGAGCCUCGAAUCGCUGAUGAUCGGGCUCUUUUGCAAAGGCUGGUCGCUGUCUGAGUGGU